CCUACGAGAGGCUGCAGUAGGGAAUCUUCCACAAUGGGCGAAAGCCUGAUGGAGCAACACCGCGUGAGUGAAGAAGGGUUUCGGCUCGUAAAGCUCUGUUGUUGGAGAAGAAAGUGCGUGAGAGUAACUGUUCACGCAGUGACGGUAUCAAAUCAGAAAGUCACGGCUAACUACGUGCCAGCAGCCGUGGUAAUACGUAGGUGGCAAGCGUUCUCCGGAUUUUUUGGGCGUAAAGCGAGACCAGGCGGUUGAAUAGGUCUGAUGUGAAAGCCUUCGGCUUAACCGAAGAAGUGCAUCGGAAAUCGGGCGACUUGAGUGCAGAAGAGGACAGUGGAACUCCAUGUGGAGCGGUGGAAUGCGUAGAGAUAUGGAAGAACACCAGUGGCGAAGGCGGCUGUCUGGUCUGCAACUGACGCGGAGGCUCGAAAGCAUGGGUAGCGAACAGGAUUAGAUACCCUAGUAGUC
This 465-nucleotide ribosomal RNA is filed under the name uncultured bacterium. RNAcentral's name for it is "partial 16S ribosomal RNA". It matches the Rfam family "Bacterial small subunit ribosomal RNA", at positions 338 to 795 of the family's 1533-position model. The record is from RNAcentral.